RNAcentral lists this long non-coding RNA (1293 nucleotides) under Piliocolobus tephrosceles (Ugandan red Colobus). RNAcentral describes it as "lncRNA (ENSPTEG00000015371.1)". The record is from RNAcentral. Lineage: Eukaryota; Metazoa; Chordata; Mammalia; Primates; Cercopithecidae.
ACGCAAACAUAUUUUUUAUCCUUUAACUAUUUUGUAAAAAUAUGCUCUUUUAUUUUUUUUUUUUUUUUUUUAUUAAAUAUGUUUAUAUAACAUUUGUGUCUAUUAUUUUUGCAUCAUUUGAAUAAAAAAAAAAAAAUAAAAAUAAAUAAAUGUAGCAUUUAAAAAUUAAAAAAAAAAAGUUUUAAUUAUAAUAGCUUUAGUUUGGAAUAAACUAUUUUUUAUAUUCUAAAAAUGUUUUAAAAAAUAUAAUAUCUAUAUAAUUAUAUUUACAUUAUAACAUUUCAAUGUUAAAAGUGUGUUAACGAAUCAACUCAUUUUUAUGUUAAAGUAUUAUAUAUGCAAAAAAAUAAACAAAUAUAUGUAUAAGAGAAAUAAAAAUACGAUUAUGCAUUUGAUACAUUAGGUAAUUGAUAACGCGGUCUUCUGAGAGUGCACAUACAUAUAAUAUACACUUUCAUGUUCUUUCGCGAAUAUUCUGUUUAUUAGACAGGUGUUUAUAUAAUAGUAGCACACAAAACGUGAAUGUGAAAAAAAAAAAAAAAAAAAAAAAAAAAAAAUUAUUGAAUCUAUGAAAAAAAAAAAAAUACAUAUAAAAAAUAUUACAUAAGGGAUAAAAUUUUUUUCAAAAAAAAUAUAAAAUUAGUUAACAUAUAAACAAAAAUCGUUAGGAACUACAUAAAUUAUAAGAUAUUUGACGCCAUAAUAUCGAUAGAUUACAUAUUUGAUUUGAAACGUGUAAAAAUAUACAUUUUUUUUUACAGUAUCCAAUUGAAACUCGUCUUAUUUAAUAGAAAGUAUAAAGUUAUCUAUCUUUCAUAAUAAACAAAACAGAUAAAAAAAUACAGUGGAUCAACAUGGGAGAUGCGAAGCCAAUUAGAGAAGAAUGGUUGGAUGAUGACAUUAGCAAUUUUGUCAAUUUUGCACAUAAUGAUGAAGAUUCUCGCAUACUUUCGAAUGCUAGUAAUUAUGAAAAUGAGGAAUUAGAAAAUGCUAUGACGAUACCUCCCCUAGUUAACACAUAUGACCCAUUGUAUUUUUAUACAACGACAGACUAUGUUUUUAUAGUAAUAACAGCUUUUAUUUUCUUCAUUUGUUUGGUAUUGUUUUUUGACUAUGUUUAUCGAACUGUAAAUCCUAUUUAGAUUCGGACGAUUAUUUAUAAUCGUGUGCGACUGAAAAAAAGAGAGCACUUGAAGUAACACCUGUAUAUUAUAAACAUACAUUGUUCAUUUUAAAAAUAUAGAAGUAAAGCUAAGAAAUAAAUUAAAAAGAGAAAAGCUAAUUGGAAGAAAC